UAGGGAAUAUUGGUCAAUGGACGCAAGUCUGAACCAGCCAUGCCGCGUGAAGGAUGAAGGUCCUCUGGAUUGUAAACUUCUUUUAUCUGGGACGAAAACGGGAUUUUUAUCUCAGUUGACGGUACCAGAGGAAUAAGCACCGGCUAACUCCGUGCCAGCAGCCGCGGUAAUACGGAGGGUGCAAGCGUUAUCCGGAUUCACUGGGUUUAAAGGGUGCGUAGGCGGAUAUGUAAGUCAGUGGUGAAAUCAACGGGCUCAACCUGUUAACUGCCAUUGGUACUGUGUAUCUUGAAUAUGAGAGAGGUAGGCCGAAUGUUGCAUGUAGCGGUGAAAUGCUUAGAUAUGCUACGGAACACCGAUUGCGAAGGCAGCUUACUAUUUCGUAAUUGACGCUGAGGCACGAAAGCGUGGGUAGCGAACA
RNAcentral lists this ribosomal RNA (421 nucleotides) under uncultured bacterium. RNAcentral describes it as "bacterial SSU rRNA". It matches the Rfam family "Bacterial small subunit ribosomal RNA", at positions 355 to 774 of the family's 1533-position model. The record is from RNAcentral.